AGCAGCCGCGGUAAUUCCAGCUCCAAUAGCGUAUAUUAAAGUUGUUGCAGUUAAAAAGCUCGUAGUUGAAUUUCGGGAUCAAUAUAUUGGUCGUGCCUCCGGUAUGCACUGGUAUCAUUGAUUUCUACCUUCUGACAAACUAUGAUGUCAUUAAUUUGGUGUCAUAGGGAUCAGGACUGUUACUUUGAAAAAAUUAGAGUGUUUAAAGCAAGCACACGCUUGAAUACAUUAGCAUGGAAUAAUGAAAUGGGAUGUUUGACCCUAUUUUGUUGGUUUCUAAGAUCGACGUAAUGAUUAAUAGGGAUAGUUGGGGGCAUUAGUAUUCAAUUGUCAGAAGUGAAAUUCUUGGAUUUAUUGAAGACUAACUACUGCGAAAGCAUUUGCCAAGGAUGUUUUCAUUAAUCAAGAACGAAAGUUAGGGGAUCGAAGACGAUCAGAUACCGUCGUAGUCUUAACCAUAAACUAUGCUGACUAGGGAUCGGAUGAUGUUAAUUUUUUAAUGUA
This 504-nucleotide ribosomal RNA is filed under the name uncultured Glomus. RNAcentral's name for it is "SSU rRNA". It matches the Rfam family "Eukaryotic small subunit ribosomal RNA", at positions 569 to 1078 of the family's 1831-position model. The record is from RNAcentral. Lineage: Eukaryota; Fungi; Glomeromycota; Glomeromycetes; Glomerales; Glomeraceae.